Molecule: ribosomal RNA, 282 nt
Filed under: Triticum aestivum (bread wheat)
Lineage: Eukaryota; Viridiplantae; Streptophyta; Magnoliopsida; Poales; Poaceae
Description: partial small subunit ribosomal RNA
Source: RNAcentral
AAAGUACCUUUAAGAAUCGAAAUAUUUAUGUGGUUUGUACACAGAGAAGUGAUUCUGACUAAGAAUAACUUGGCAAAGCGAAGAUGGGAGGGCAGUAAAUGAUGUUGUUUUUGUGAUCAAGAUGAAACUAUACAACAUCUCUUUCUCAAAUGUCCUCUCGCCAAGCUAUUAUGGCGUAUCAUUCAUGUAGCACUACUGCAGGAUGUUGCUAACGCGACAAUACGAUCAGAGACCCUUCGAGAAUCUGUGUGCGAUGCAAUAAUCGCAAACGGUGCUGUAUGA